GGAAAAGUGCCCUUGAAAAUUGCUUACUCCUACUAAAAUAUACUGGAUUUGUACUCCAAGGGACAAAGCAGAAGUACAAUGAAUAACUGCAAGCAGGAAAAAACAAUUUUCUGUUGCUGAAGCAGAAGCUGGAAGAUGAUCAGAGAAGAAAGCAGAGACACUGAGAUCUGUGAGGAUACAAGCAAGUAAAGAGAAGCAGAAGAGGCUAGAUUAUAAAACAAAUUGUGGUUCAAACCAGGCAGAGGAAAGCUUCUAUCAAGAGAGUUUUAACCUUCCACACGCUUUCAUUUAUAAUUAUUAUUUAUGAUGAUUACUACCAUUAAUUUGUUUAGUGAGCUGAGUGUACAUGUUAUCCUGGCAAGUGUCAAUAAAAUAAACAAUCUCUUCCCCCUCCAAAUCUAAUAUUCUAAAAGUGGCAGGAUACUAACUAGAUCUUGCACAACCUGAUAAAAUCAUUACAGCCUGAAAAUGGUGUAGUACAGAGGAGUCUUUUAAGAAGAUCUCUGAAGGAAGAAACUGAAGGAUGCUGACAUACAUUAAUAGGAAAGCUGCUGCAGGCAUAUGCACAGGCUGAAGAUGUGCAAUCUGGAGUGUGCAGGGGACAUGAGGCAGGGUUGAGGGCAGGCA
Molecule: long non-coding RNA, 627 nt
Organism: Pezoporus occidentalis (night parrot)
Lineage: Eukaryota; Metazoa; Chordata; Aves; Psittaciformes; Psittacidae
Exons: 3
Source: RefSeq, a predicted model, not a curated record